UAACAAUACAACUAUACAGUUACUGUAAGUCAUGUAGUGCUAUGCUUUUAUUGUGCUAUCAAACCGUAGAACUCUCGUUGAAAGAUCUAUUUACGUCGAAGUUUACAGACACAUUAACAAUUUUAUUUAACGUCCAACACAUACAUUAACCAUGAACAUCAAGAAUAUUCUUGACUUGCCGGAUGAAAUCAAUAUCCUGAUAGUGAAACUGUUAGACAUUGAAUCCCAGAAGAAUGUUUAUUAUACAUGCACAUAUUUCAAACAUUUAAUAAGCAUGUAUGGAGUAGUAACCAGUUGCAAAUUAUGUAUGAAUAUUAUGGCCACAGCUAAAUCACUAAAACUGGAGUUUUUUAAGGACAUUGCCAUCCACUUACGAGAACUAAACUUAUCAGCUAUGAGUGAUUUAAAUAAAACUUCACUAGUACCUGCUAUUAAGAAAUUGAAGAAAUUGCAUGUUCUAGAUGUUUCUUAUACUAAGAUAAAUAUUAUAGAUUUGCUUGAUAUACACCAGGCUUGCCCAACUAUAAAAGAUGUUUCUAUCAACUUUGCAUUCGACAAAUGUGUUCAGAUAACGGUUCCUCAAAGCAUUAUAGAAAAAUGUCAAAAUAUGUUUAAAAAUUAUGAGAGAGUUCAUUUUGUAGGUAUAUUGACUAAUCUAUUUUGUUCAAAACUGCCCUUAAGAUUGCUGGAAAAAGCUAAAUUAAAUGAGUUACAGUACACUAUAACAGAUUGUGCAUUUUUAAGAUCUGUUUAUGAUAAUGAUAUAGAUAUGGAAGAAAUGAUACAAUUUAGGCUACUGAAAGUGUUUCUACUCAACUGGCAUAAAGAAAACCAGUACUAUGGACGCCUAAAUGAAUCUGCUGUUCUUUCUAUGUUAGACUUAAGUAAAUAUGAGCUCAUCAUGGUUUCCAGAUGCACUAUGGAUGUGUUGCAAGUUCUAGUUUCUCCUAGGUUUAAAGACUUCUUUCUUAAACAAUUUGGUGUACAAGCAGACAUAUUCACAACAUGGACUAACCAGGAACUUGGAGGCAAUGUUGCAUUCAUGAUUUGGAAUACAGCAACAACUGUGUUUGAUAGUUCAUUUUAUAAUCGGUUAUUGAAACAGUUAAAACAGUUCUUUCCAUAUCAUUUAAAAUCAGCUUCUGGUGAUACUCAAAUACCAGCCAAUAAUGAUUGGAUUUACACAAGACCAAAUCAAAAUGACUUUGCGAGAUCAGUGAGACAUAUUGAGCUUGAUUUUAAGAAAAGAAGAGUAGCUCCACAAGGCAUAAUUCUUGACUAUGACAAUGUUUGUAAAGACAAGAAAAAUAUUAAAUUAACUGUUUUGUUUGAAAAUACGAUUAGAUGUCUAGUGACACUAUCAAGUAGUAGUAACUAUUUAAAAAAGAUAACUCAUUUAAACUUGACUGGUCAUGUGGUUUAUAGCUCUGAUUUUUUCAAGAUAUUAUUUACAAAUUGUCAUAAUCUUGUUGCCAUCAGUUGCACAUCAUCGCCAAAUGCUACCCAAGCAUUAGGACGAUACAUUUGGCUGUGUAAAUAUAUUAAACAUUUACGGUUAGUCGCAACAACAAUUGAUUUUAAAUCAUUGUUUGUUUCUUUAAGUCGGUGCAAAUACAUAGAGAAUGUACAUUUGUACAAUAUGACAUCCAGUGGUGAUAUAGCUGAACCGAAAGAUAUGUUUGAAAGAUGUUGUUGUUUGUAUAAUUUGUCAAUAUGUAUGCCUAUGUCUGAUACUUUAAGAGCGAAAAAAUUGCAGACACUUAAUAAAAUUAAAUCUAUGUACUCGAGAGAUCAUUUAAACAUAGAAUUGUGUGUUGCACCUGAUCUCAAGGCUUAUGGAUAUGAUCCUUUCGUCGAAGUUUUCGAUUUGAAUCCAAUAAAAGUAGUAUAGUACA
Cydia splendana is the source of this 1895-nucleotide long non-coding RNA. RefSeq lists it as uncharacterized. The transcript is spliced from 2 exons. Lineage: Eukaryota; Metazoa; Arthropoda; Insecta; Lepidoptera; Tortricidae. The record is from RefSeq and is a predicted model, not a curated record.